UGACCGGAUGCCGAUCUCGAAAACCUGUCCCAGUUCGGACUGGAGUCUGCAACCCGACUCCACGAAGUUGGAUUCGCUAGUAAUCGCGCAUCAGCCAUGGCGCGGUGAAUACGUUCCCGGGCCUUGUACACACCGCCCGUCAAGCCAUGGGAGCCGGGGGCGCCUGAAGUCCGGGACCGCGAGGACCGGCCUAGGGCGAAACUGGUGACUGGGGCUAAGUCGUAACAAGGUAAC
RNAcentral lists this ribosomal RNA (234 nucleotides) under uncultured bacterium. RNAcentral describes it as "partial 16S ribosomal RNA". It matches the Rfam family "Bacterial small subunit ribosomal RNA", at positions 1258 to 1500 of the family's 1533-position model. The record is from RNAcentral.